AAUAGAUACCCAGGUAGUCCACGCUGUAAACGUUGGGCGCUAGGUGUGGGGGGCCUCUCCGGUUCCCUGUGCCGCAGCUAACGCAUUAAGCGCCCCGCCUGGGGAGUACGGCCGCAAGGCUAUAACUCAAAGGAAUUGACGGGGGCCCGCACAAGCGGCGGAGCAUGCGGAUUAAUUCGAUGCAACGCGAAGAACCUUACCUGGGUUUGACAUGGCCGCAAAACUCGCAGAGAUGUGAGGUCCUUCGGGGCGGUCACAGGUGGUGCAUGGCUGUCGUCAGCUCGUGUCGUGAGAUGUUGGGUUAAGUCCCGCAACGAGCGCAACCCUCGUUCGAUGUUGCCAGCGCGUUAUGGCGGGGACUCAUCGAAGACUGCCGGGGUCAACUCGGAGGAAGGUGGGGAUGACGUCAAGUCAUCAUGCCCCUUAUGUCCAGGGCUUCACGCAUGCUACAAUGGCCGGUACAAUGGGCUGCGAUACCGUGAGGUGGAGCGAAUCCCAAAAAGCCGGUCUCAGUUCGGAUCGGGGU
Molecule: ribosomal RNA, 526 nt
Filed under: uncultured bacterium
Lineage: Bacteria
Description: bacterial SSU rRNA
Rfam family: Bacterial small subunit ribosomal RNA
Source: RNAcentral